Molecule: ribosomal RNA, 494 nt
Filed under: uncultured bacterium
Lineage: Bacteria
Description: partial 16S ribosomal RNA
Rfam family: Bacterial small subunit ribosomal RNA
Source: RNAcentral
GACGAACGCUGGCGGCGUGCCUAAUACAUGCAAGUAGAACGCUGAAGGAGGGGCUUGCUUCUCUGGAUGAGUUGCGAACGGGUGAGUAACGCGUAGGUAACCUGCCUGGUAGCGGGGGAUAACUAUUGGAAACGAUAGCUAAUACCGCAUAAUAUUGACUAUUGCAUGAUAGUCAGUUGAAAGGUGCAACUGCACCACUACCAGAUGGACCUGCGUUGUAUUAGCUAGUUGGUGGGGUAACGGCUCACCAAGGCGACGAUACAUAGCCGACCUGAGAGGGUGAUCGGCCACACUGGGACUGAGACACGGCCCAGACUCCUACGGGAGGCAGCAGUAGGGAAUCUUCGGCAAUGGACGGAAGUCUGACCGAGCAACGCCGCGUGAGUGAAGAAGGUUUUCGGAUCGUAAAGCUCUGUUGUAAGAGAAGAACGAGUGUGAGAGUGGAAAGCUCACACUGUGACGGUAUCUUACCAGAAGAGGACGGCUAACUACGU